Molecule: ribosomal RNA, 808 nt
Filed under: uncultured euryarchaeote
Lineage: Archaea; Methanobacteriati; Methanobacteriota
Description: bacterial SSU rRNA
Rfam family: Archaeal small subunit ribosomal RNA
Source: RNAcentral
CAUGCUAGUCGCACGAGUUCAGACUCGUGGCGAAUAGCUCAGUAACACGUGGCCAAACUACCCUUCGGAACACAAUACCCUCGGGAAACUGAGGCUAAUAGUGUAUACCACAGUCCACCUGGAAUGAGGACUGUGCCAAACGCUCCGGCACCGAAGGAUGUGGCUGCGGCCGAUUAGGUAGACGGUGGGGUAACGGCCCACCGUGCCAAUAAUCGGUACGGGUCAUGAGAGUGAGAACCCGGAGACGGAAUCUGAGACAAGAUUCCGGGCCCUACGGGGCGCAGCAGGCGCGAAACCUUUACACUGCACGACAGUGCGAUAAGGGAAUCCCAAGUGCGUAGGCAUAGAGCCUACGCUUUUGUCCACCGUAGGGAGGUGGACGAAUAAGGGCUGGGCAAGACCGGUGCCAGCCGCCGCGGUAAUACCGGCAGCCCGAGUGAUGGCCGAUCUUAUUGGGCCUAAAGCGUCCGUAGCUGGCCGCACAAGUCCAUCGGAAAAUCCACCCGCUCAACGGGUGGGCGUCCGGUGGAAACUGUGUGGCUUGGGACCGGAAGGCGCGACGGGUACGUCCGGGGUAGGAGUGAAAUCCUGUAAUCCUGGACGGACCGCCGAUGGCGAAAGCACGUCGCGAGAACGGAUCCGACAGUGAGGGACGAAAGCUAGGGUCUCGAACCGGAUUAGAUACCCGGGUAGUCCUAGCCGUAAACAAUGCCUGCUAGGUGUGGCUCCCACUACGAGUGGGUGCUGUGCCGUAGGGAAGCUGCUAAGCAGGCCGCCUGGGAAGUACGUCCGCAAGGAUGAAACUUAA